RNAcentral lists this ribosomal RNA (146 nucleotides) under uncultured bacterium. Its description in RNAcentral is "partial 16S ribosomal RNA". It matches the Rfam family "Bacterial small subunit ribosomal RNA", at positions 366 to 531 of the family's 1533-position model. The record is from RNAcentral.
GGGCAAUGGGCGCAGCUGAUGCAGCAAUGCCGCGUGAGUGAUGAAGGCCUUCGGGUUGUAAACGCUCUUUUACCCGGACGAUAAUGACGGUACCUGGAGAAUAAGCCCCGGCUAACUCCGUGCCAGCAGCCGCGGUAAUAAAUACG